CCUACGGGGGGCUGCAGUGGGGAAUAUUGCACAAUGGGCGCAAGCCUGAUGCAGCCAUGCCGCGUGUAUGAAGAAGGCCUUCGGGUUGUAAAGUACUUUCAGCGGGGAGGAAGGCGAUAAGGUUAAUAACCUUGUCGAUUGACGUUACCCGCAGAAGAAGCACCGGCUAACUCCGUGCCAGCAGCCGCGGUAAUACGGAGGGUGCAAGCGUUAAUCGGAAUUACUGGGCGUAAAGCGCACGCAGGCGGUCUGUCAAGUCGGAUGUGAAAUCCCCGGGCUCAACCUGGGAACUGCAUUCGAAACUGGCAGGCUUGAGUCUUGUAGAGGGGGGUAGAAUUCCAGGUGUAGCGGUGAAAUGCGUAGAGAUCUGGAGGAAUACCGGUGGCGAAGGCGGCCCCCUGGACAAAGACUGACGCUCAGGUGCGAAAGCGUGGGGAGCAAACAGGAUUAGAUACCCGAGUAGUCC
RNAcentral lists this ribosomal RNA (466 nucleotides) under uncultured Enterobacteriaceae bacterium. RNAcentral describes it as "bacterial SSU rRNA". It matches the Rfam family "Bacterial small subunit ribosomal RNA", at positions 338 to 796 of the family's 1533-position model. Lineage: Bacteria; Pseudomonadati; Pseudomonadota; Gammaproteobacteria; Enterobacterales; Enterobacteriaceae. The record is from RNAcentral.